GCGGAAGUGGCGGAACUGGCAGACGCGCUGGGUUCAGGGUCCAGUGAGGGCAACCUCUUGGGGGUUCAAAUCCCCCCUUCCGCACCA
Molecule: transfer RNA, 87 nt
Filed under: Candidatus Eiseniibacteriota bacterium
Lineage: Bacteria; Candidatus Eiseniibacteriota
Description: Candidatus Eisenbacteria bacterium tRNA-Leu
Rfam family: tRNA
About the family: Transfer RNA (tRNA) molecules are approximately 80 nucleotides in length. Their secondary structure includes four short double-helical elements and three loops (D, anti-codon, and T loops). Further hydrogen bonds mediate the characteristic L-shaped molecular structure. tRNAs have two regions of fundamental functional importance: the anti-codon, which is responsible for specific mRNA codon recognition, and the 3' end, to which the tRNAs corresponding amino acid is attached (by aminoacyl-tRNA synthetases). tRNAs cope with the degeneracy of the genetic code in two manners: having more than one tRNA (with a specific anti-codon) for a particular amino acid; and 'wobble' base-pairing, i.e. permitting non-standard base-pairing at the 3rd anti-codon position.
Source: RNAcentral